AUUUAUUCUUAUAGAAGGGUUUUCUUUUUAAAUACAAGUCCUUUUCUAAUUAUGUAGGAAAAAAUAAAAUACUAAGCUUUUUUCUUUUGCAAUCUUCAUAGAACUCAUGAGAGACAAGCAGAGACCAGUAAGAAACUUCUUUUGGAGAAACAACAGAUCAGAUCUUUAUUCACAACUCAUGCUAGGAGGCCAGUCCUAGAGUUACCUUGUGUUGGAAAUCUUACCGAUAGUUUGAGUCGACAGAAUACUUAUUUUAGAAGAAAAAUUCAUGAUUUCUUCCUGAAGCCUAUGACAUAAAAUAACAGUGCGAAGAACUACUUGUUCAAGGUUAUAUAAUAGUGUAACAUUGCCAAGAAGUGGAUUAUCUCAUCUUCAUCCUGUAAUUCCAGUGUUUGUCACAUGGUUGUUGAAUAAAUGAAUAAAGAAUGAGAAAGCCAGAAGCUCUGAUACGUAGUCAUAAUGAUAAUUAUUUCAAUGCACAACUAUGGGUGAGUUAUAUUUAACAGCAAUUUUGUAUAAUAGUUAUAUAUACAUUUUUUUAUUCUCAGUAACACAGAGCAGGUUCUCAACUCUUUUCUGACUUCCACUUAGUUUACCAUAAAAACUUUUAGGUGAAGAACAUAAAUAUUUUUCUUUCCAGGUGGUGCUGAACUACAAUCUAUAUUUUCUGCAACUGGCUCCUCUAGGAUCUACUAAUGAUUUAAAUCUAAAAGAUGAAGUUAGUAAAGCAUCAGAAAAAAAGAGUCCAAGAGUCCAUACCAUGGGAACCGAUUCUUCAUCUUUUAAGAAUACCAUAUGGAUACUUAUAAAUGGGCAUGAAUUAAGCAACUGGGCCUUUCAACAAUUUUGGAGAAGGCCAUUUCACACUUUUAAAAUAAAUGUGCUCCCAUAAGAUCAGGUAUGUUUUAAUACUAAAAUAACAGUGCACAUGUAUAAAAUAAAACUUAGUGGUACCUCUCUCU
RNAcentral lists this long non-coding RNA (962 nucleotides) under Piliocolobus tephrosceles (Ugandan red Colobus). RNAcentral's name for it is "lncRNA (ENSPTEG00000027273.1)". The record is from RNAcentral. Lineage: Eukaryota; Metazoa; Chordata; Mammalia; Primates; Cercopithecidae.